GUUGCUUGGUUCUGUAGUCCAUCACUCGCUCAGAGUUGCGCUGUUGAACGUGUCAUCAGAACCAAGAAGGGGCCACUGCACAGAGAUGUGUUCCCGACAGAGCUCCGGAGGCUGCCACGAGUCAUCUUCCCAGUCCGGGGGAUGCUGCAGUGGGGGCAGCUCCUCCAGCUACCAGGCACAGGGCUCCUCCUGCUGCGGGGGCUCCUCGGGAUACAGCAUGGGAGGAGGAUACAGCGGUGGCAGUGGGGGAUCGAGCCAGAAGAUCAUCAUUAGCUCAGGAGGAGGAGGAGGAGGUUCGUCUGGAUGCUGUGGUGGAGGAUCCAGCAGUGGUGGGUCUUCAGGAGGCAAGAUAAUCAUUGGAGGAGGUGGAAGUAGUGGGGGAUCCUCUGGGUGCUGCAGUGGAGGCUCCUCGGGCUACGGAAUAGGAGGAGGAUACAGCAGUGGUGGUUACUCGGGAUCCAAGAGCAUCAUUGGAGGAGGUGGAAGCAGUGGUGGAUCCUCUGGAUGCUGUGGUGGAGGAUCCAGCAGUGGUGGCUCUUCAGGUGGCAAGAUCAUAAUUACUGGAGGUGGGAGCAGUGGGGGAUCCUCUGGGUGCUGCAGUGGAGGCUCCUCGAGCUACGGCAUGGGAGGAGGAUACAGCAGUGGUGGUUACUCAGGCUCCAAGAGCAUCAUUGGAGGUGGGAGCAGUGGUGGAUCCUCUGGAUGCUGUGGUGGAGGAUCCAGCAGUGGUGGGUCUUCAGGUGGCAAGAUCAUAAUUACAGGAGGUGGAAGCAGUGGGGGAUCCUCUGGGUGCUGCAGUGGAGGCUCCUCGGGCUACGGAAUAGGAGGAGGAUACAGCAGUGGUGGUUACUCAGGCUCCAAGAGCAUCAUUGGAGGAGGUGGAAGCAGUGGUGGAUCCUCAGGAUUCUGUGGUGGGGGAUCCAGCAGUGGUGGCUCUUCAGGUGGCAAGAUCAUAAUUACAGGAGGUGGAAGCAGUGGGGGAUCCUCUGGAUGCUGCAGUGGAGGCUCCUCGGGCUUCGGAAUAGGAGGAGGAUACAGCAGUGGUGGUUACUCAGGCUCCAAGAGCAUCAUUGGAGGUGGAAGCAGUGGGGGAUCCUCUGGUUGCUGUGGUGGGGGAUCCAGCAGUGGUGGCUCUUCAGAAGGAAAGAUCAUCAUUACUGGAGGUGGGAGCAGUGGGGGAUCCUCUGGAUGCUGUAGUGGGGGAUCCAGCUAUGGAAUGGGUGGAGGAUCUAGUGGUGGUUAUUCAGGAUCCAAGAGCAUCAUUGGAGGUGGAAGCAGUGGAGGUUCCUCUGGAUGCUGCGGUGGUGGCUCUUCUGGCUAUGGCUCUUCUGGCUAUGGCUCUUCCAGCUAUGGCAGUGGGGGAUCAGGCCAGAAGAUCAUCAUUAGCUCUGGAGGAGGAGGAGGAGGUGGCUCAUCUGGAUGCUGUGGUGGGGGAUCCAGCAGUGGUGGCUCUUCAGGAGGAAAGAUCAUAAUUACAGGAGGUGGAAGCAGUGGUGGAUCCUCUGGUUGCUGUGGUGGAGGAUCCAGCAGUGGUGGGUCUUCAGGAGGAAAGAUCAUAAUUACUGGAGGUGGGAGCAGUGGGGGAUCCUCUGGGUGCUGCAGUGGAGGCUCCUCGGGCUACGGCAUGGGAGGAGGAUACAGCAGUGGUGGUUACUCAGGCUCCAAGAGCAUCAUUGGAGGUGGGAGCAGUGGUGGAUCCUCUGGUUGCUGUGGUGGGGGAUCCAGCAGUGGUGGCUCUUCAGAAGGAAAGAUCAUCAUUACUGGAGGUGGGAGCAGUGGAGGAUCCUCUGGAUGCUGUAGUGGGGGAUCCAGCUAUGGAAUGGGUGGAGGAUCCAGUGGUGGUUAUUCAGGAUCCAAGAGCAUCAUUGGAGGUGGAAGCAGUGGAGGUUCCUCUGGAUGCUGCGGUGGUGGCUCUUCUGGCUAUGGCUCUUCUGGCUAUGGCUCUUCAGGCUAUGGCAGUGGGGGAUCAGGCCAGAAGAUCAUCAUUAGCUCUGGAGGUGGAGGAGGUGGCUCAUCUGGAUGCUGUGGUGGGGGAUCCAGCAGUGGUGGAUCUUCCGGAGGCAAGAUCAUCGUUGGAGGAGGUGGAAGCAGUGGGGGAUCCUCUGGAUGCUGCGGUGGGGGAUCCAGUGGGGGCAGUGGCGGUUCCUCGGGCCACACCAUCAUCAUCAGCUCCGGAGGAGGCAGUGGUGGGUACGGCCAGUCCUCGCAGCAGAAAUGCCCCAUUGUCAUUCCUCACAUCGAGAGCCACCAGACCAAGCAGGCCUGCUACUUUCCUGGCCAGCAGAAGUGACCGCCCCCGACAGCGCAGCACUCAGCAGGAACAGCCCUGCCUCUGUUUUCCAUGUUUGUCUGCUUCCCCACCAUGUGUCCUCUUCUCAAUCCUUGAUGCUCCAUUACUAUGCCAUGAACUCUGGGCUUAACAACCUUUUGCUCCGUGCUGGUGUUGUGAUUUCUUUGGUCAAAUUGUGCUCCAUUUUCAGUAAGGAUUUGUAGUACCUAAUAAAUAUCACGACAUCACAAUGUAGAUUUA
RNAcentral lists this long non-coding RNA (2530 nucleotides) under Gallus gallus (chicken). Its description in RNAcentral is "lncRNA (ENSGALG00010028830.1)". Lineage: Eukaryota; Metazoa; Chordata; Aves; Galliformes; Phasianidae. The record is from RNAcentral.